GAAGUGUUAGUAAAACAAUUACAUAGCCUUGUCAAGACUAAAUCAUAGGUGAAAACCCUAUACACUUCU
RNAcentral lists this transfer RNA (69 nucleotides) under Luscinia svecica (bluethroat). RNAcentral describes it as "tRNA-Asp". Lineage: Eukaryota; Metazoa; Chordata; Aves; Passeriformes; Muscicapidae. The record is from RNAcentral.